UGGCCAUUUUGGUGUUUCAGUCCCUUCU
This 28-nucleotide non-coding RNA is filed under the name Mus musculus (house mouse). The record is from RNAcentral. Lineage: Eukaryota; Metazoa; Chordata; Mammalia; Rodentia; Muridae.